RNAcentral lists this non-coding RNA (30 nucleotides) under Mus musculus (house mouse). Lineage: Eukaryota; Metazoa; Chordata; Mammalia; Rodentia; Muridae. The record is from RNAcentral.
UGAAAAUGAGUAGGCGACACAAGUUUCUGU